RNAcentral lists this ribosomal RNA (293 nucleotides) under uncultured bacterium. Its description in RNAcentral is "partial 16S ribosomal RNA". It matches the Rfam family "Archaeal small subunit ribosomal RNA", at positions 455 to 747 of the family's 1478-position model. The record is from RNAcentral.
GUGCCAGCCGCCGCGGUAAUACCGGCAGCCCGAGUGAUGGCUGAUAUUAUUGGGCCUAAAGCGUCCGUAGCUGGCCGAACAAGUCCGUCGGGAUAUCCACGUGCUUAACACGUGGGCGAACGGCGGAAACUGUUCGGCUUGGGGCCGGAGGACCCGAGGGGUACGUACGGGGUAGGAGUGAAAUCCUGUAAUCCUGGACGGACCGCCGGUGGCGAAAGCGCCUCGGGAAGACGGAACCGACAGUGAGGGACGAAAGCUGGGAUCUCGAACCGGAUUAGAAACCCGAGUAGUCC